CAAAGACUAAAGAGGACAAAUGGACGCCUGUUUGGGAUGAAGAAUUUACCUUCCCACUGACUGUACCCGAAUUAGCUUUGCUACGAAUUGAAGUACAUGAAUACGACAUGUCAGAGAAGGACGAUUUUGCUGGCCAAACAUGUAUACCUGUUUCGGAGCUGAAACCUGGUAUACAUGCAGUUCCACUCUGUAACAGAAAAGGUGAGAUAUAUAAUUCCGCGAGGCUACUCAUGCGCUUUGAGUUUAUCUGAGGUUUUUUUUAAUUGUUGUGUGCUUCUUGAGCUUUCGUAUUUUUGGAUGUCCUCAGAUGAUGUUUGUUUACAUUUUAGGAGUUUG
RNAcentral lists this unclassified non-coding RNA (336 nucleotides) under Hevea brasiliensis (rubber tree). The record is from RNAcentral. Lineage: Eukaryota; Viridiplantae; Streptophyta; Magnoliopsida; Malpighiales; Euphorbiaceae.